RNAcentral lists this ribosomal RNA (405 nucleotides) under uncultured bacterium. Its description in RNAcentral is "partial 16S ribosomal RNA". It matches the Rfam family "Bacterial small subunit ribosomal RNA", at positions 28 to 526 of the family's 1533-position model. The record is from RNAcentral.
GACGAACGCUGGCGGCGUGCUUAACACAUGCAAGUCGAGCGGAGCGGCGAACGGGUGAGUAACGCGUGAGUAACUGCCCCACUCACUGGGAUAACAGUUGGAAACGACUGCUAAUACCGGAUAGCGGGGGAUGACUCGCGUCCUAUCAGCUUGUUGGUGGGGUAGUGGCCUACCAAGGCGACGACGGGUAGCCGGCCUGAGAGGUCGACCGGCCACAUUCGGAUGAGAGACGGCCCAAACUUCUACUGUGGGCAGCAGUGGGGAAUAUUGCACAAUGGGGGAAACCCUGAUGCAUCUACGCCGCGUGCGGGAUGACGGCUUUCGGGUUGUGAACCGCUUGCAGCCAUUACGCGGUAGUGGCAGAAGAAGCACCGGCUAACUACGUGCCAGCAGCCGCGGUAAUAC